UACAGAGGUCUCAACCGUUGUUCGGAUUCAUUGGGCGUAAAGGGUGCGUAGGCGGUCGGGUAAGUCGGAUGUGAAAUCUCAGGGCUCAACCCUGAAACUGCAUUCGAUACUGCCUGGCUAGGGUACUGGAGAGGAGACUGGAAUUUACGGUGUAGCAGUGGAAUGCGUAGAGAUCCGGAGGAACACCAGCGGCGAAGGCGGCGUCCUGGACUGGUACUGACGCUCAGGAGCGAAAGCGUGGGGAGCGAUCCGG
Molecule: ribosomal RNA, 253 nt
Filed under: uncultured bacterium
Lineage: Bacteria
Description: partial 16S ribosomal RNA
Rfam family: Bacterial small subunit ribosomal RNA
Source: RNAcentral